This 252-nucleotide long non-coding RNA is filed under the name Ananas comosus (pineapple). Its description in RNAcentral is "long non-coding RNA (ACOM_LNC040783)". The record is from RNAcentral. Lineage: Eukaryota; Viridiplantae; Streptophyta; Magnoliopsida; Poales; Bromeliaceae.
AUAUAUAUAUAUAUAUAACUAGGCUGGAUACUAUUAAUAGCAUCAAUUACUUGGUGCUAUUAAAUUUUUACUCUUGGAUUAAAAGAUGUGCGGUUAGAUUGAUGUGGGCCCUCUAGGGUUGAGUGGGUGGUUGGUUUAAUAGUAUAAUAUAACGGAUAAAAAUAAUCAAAGGGGUUAAUCUAACGGCAGAAAACUUGAUAGCACCAAGUGCUUGGUGCUAUCGAUAGCAUAGCAGCCGGACUCUAUAUAUAU